Molecule: ribosomal RNA, 406 nt
Filed under: uncultured bacterium
Lineage: Bacteria
Description: partial 16S ribosomal RNA
Rfam family: Bacterial small subunit ribosomal RNA
Source: RNAcentral
AUUGAACGCUGGCGGCAGGCCUAACACAUGCAAGUCGAGCGCGCGGCGGACGGGUGUGUAUAAUAUGGGGGACUGCCCGAGAGAGGGGGAUAACAACUGGAAACGGUAGCUAUAACCGCAUACUAUCGGAGGAACCCACAUGGGAUUAGCUAGUAGUUGUGGGAAUGGGUCCCCCAGGCGACGAUCCCUAGCUGGUCUGAGAGGAUGAUCAGCCACACUGGAACUGAGACACGGCCCAGACUCCUACGGGAGGCAGCAGGGGGGAAUAUUGCACAAUGGGCGCAAGCCUGAUGCAGCCAUGCCGCGUGUAUGAAGAAGGCCCUAGGGUUGUAAAGUACUUUCAGUCGGGAGGCGUUACCGGCAGAAGAAGCACCGGCUAACUCCGUGCCAGCAGCCGCGGUAAUUC